UACGUAGGGUGCGAGCGUUAAUCGGAAUUACUGGGCGUAAAGCGUGCGCAGGCGGUUGUGUAAGACAGGCGUGAAAUCCCCGGGCUCAACCUGGGAACUGCGCUUGUGACUGCACAGCUAGAGUACGGCAGAGGGGGGUGGAAUUCCACGUGUAGCAGUGAAAUGCGUAGAGAUGUGGAGGAACACCGAUGGCGAAGGCAGCCCCCUGGGUCGAUACUGACGCUCAUGCACGAAAGCGUGGGUAGCAAACAGGAUUAGAUACCCUGGUAGUCCACGCCCUAAACGAUGUCAACUAGGUGUUGGGUGGGUAAAACCAUUUAGUACCGUAGCUAACGCGUGAAGUUGACCGCCUGGGGAGUACGGCCGCAAGGUUAAA
RNAcentral lists this ribosomal RNA (376 nucleotides) under uncultured bacterium. Its description in RNAcentral is "bacterial SSU rRNA". It matches the Rfam family "Bacterial small subunit ribosomal RNA", at positions 524 to 898 of the family's 1533-position model. The record is from RNAcentral.